GGUGAGAACUGUCCGGGGAGUAAGUGGUAGUGUUGUUGUUGCUUGUAAAUAGUGGCAGAGUAUUAUUAUAAUUGUAGUGAUGUUAUACUUGCUGGGUCAGUGUGUCAGGUCCAGUGUGCUGACAGUCGCCUCGUGCACGCUGGUAAUGCUGUCUUUCAUAAUUUUGAAGGUUAAUGUGAAAAUUGGGCUUAUCUCCCCACCAGAAAUAUUGUUUUGGAUUUUGUUACCUACUCAGAUUUGGAGAGUCACUACACUUUCCAAGAACCCAGCGACUUUUCCCUGUCUGUCCCUGUGAGCAUAAGAAAUGAGGGAAGCUGCAACAAGUGACCAGGCUUACAAGUGGCAGUCCUUGUAUGAAAUAUACCAGCGCACAGUUCAUUGAAACUUUGAUCUGGAGUUACAAGCGCACAGUCAAGUUUCCAUCCUCCACCUCCAAAAACAGCCUUCCUCCACAAACUGUCUGACUGCUGGGACUUGGAGGUGGAUAAAGCAGUGCUGUCCAGACUGGCCCACUGCACGCUGUCAGUCUGCUGCGGCACGGGGUCUCCAGGAACAUGCGCAGUCCCUUCUCCUGUGACAAG
Long non-coding RNA from Scylla paramamosain (green mud crab), 581 nucleotides. RefSeq lists it as uncharacterized. The record is from RefSeq and is a predicted model, not a curated record. The transcript has 3 exons. NCBI's taxonomy places the organism in Eukaryota, Metazoa, Arthropoda, Malacostraca, Decapoda, Portunidae.